UCAGCCACUAUUAAAUUACACAAAUAAAAGAAAUAGGACGUUGUCAAACAACAUACAUACCACAAGUAGUUUCAAAAAUUGCUAUUUACACCAAGGAUACUGGAAUCCGACGCGAAGAUGGUGCCCAGACAGCUCCAGAGAACACACCUUGAGAGGGAGAUGUAGGACGGGGCCCAGAGCCCACGGCUAAGGGCUGAGGCCACCCAAGUCUCUGCAGGGAGGAAGGGGGCGAGUCACAGCUGUGGCUACGCAGAAAGCCCGCAGCUUCUCAGGGCUAGGGGGGAGCUUCGAAGAAACGCUACGCUUCCCCCACCCCGAGGCAACACCCCGGAACCACUGCUACCGCAGGAGGGGGCCACCCGAUCGUGGACACGGGAGACCGAGGACGCCUCGGCUCACAGAAGCCACUGUACCGCCACAACCCAAACCUGGGGGGCCGGGGGAGACAUUUUGGGUGCACCGGCAAAACUCGUCCCCAGGGCUGGGGUCGUCCUGGCAACAAGAAGGGUGCUGUGUGCCAGUGUAAAUAACCCGAUCGGGCAACAGGUACACGGCCUCGGUCCCGCAGGAGCCCCUCUCCCUCCCCGAGUCCCAGAGGACAAAAACCCACGUCCUUUCUCCGCAGGGGACUUGGAACCUCUGCACGCACGGACCACCGGCCCCGGGCACGAUCUCGCCGAAAGGUGCCGGGCGGCUGGAGCUGACGACCGAGAGAUGCUGGGGCCUCGGCCUCUGGGGAGGGGCGAAAGGGGGGACACAGAGCCCAGCGCUGACCUCGAAGGGGGGCCCCUCUCUUGGUACCUUUGCAGACGCAGGACCCUCCCGCCGGAAUGUGGUCUGCGCGUCUCCUCCACCCAAAGGGCCGGCAUCGGACACCCCUGGGCGAGCACCAGCAGCACGCGCGGUUGCCGCUUCUCCGGGAGCCCCAGCGAAGAAAAUCACAUAUCGAGAGGACAAACCAACAGCAGGAGCCCGGGCGCUUGUGCUUGACGCUCUACCCUCCCGGCUCCAUCCCAAUGUGACCCGAGGAUGAAGUGCUGCGUCCGCGAUAAUCCUUUCAGGACUUGAGCUGUAUGUGAGUGUGCGUGCUUGUGGGUAUUCCUUUCUUUGCAUUUAUAUAAAAUAUUGAUGUUUCUGCAUAUAUUAUUAUCAAAUGGGUUAUACAGAAACAUAUUCUAUAUAAUAUACACUUGUGUAUAUACAAGUCACAUGAGUAUAUAUAUAUAUAUAUAUGAAUUCCAUAAAUAUACCCUUAUAGUAUAAUAAUCAAAUAAUACAUGAUGAUAAUAUUGUUGAGAAGCAUUAAUACUGUGUAAUGGUACUGCUAUACCAAUAUAUUAACAUGCUAAUAAAUAACUACUACCAAUUAAUAAUAAAUAAAUA
Molecule: long non-coding RNA, 1383 nt
Filed under: Ursus maritimus (polar bear)
Lineage: Eukaryota; Metazoa; Chordata; Mammalia; Carnivora; Ursidae
Description: lncRNA (ENSUMAG00000021733.1)
Source: RNAcentral